GAUGAACGCUGGCGGCGUGCUUAACACAUGCAAGUCGAACGAAGCACUUUAUUUGAUUUCCUUCGGGACUGAUUAUUUUGUGACUGAGUGGCGGACGGGUGAGUAACGCGUGGGUAACCUGCCUUGUACAGGGGGAUAACAGUUGGAAACGGCUGCUAAUACCGCAUAAGCGCACAGCAUCGCAUGAUGCAGUGUGAAAAACUCCGGUGGUAUAAGAUGGACCCGCGUUGGAUUAGCUAGUUGGUGAGGUAACGGCCCACCAAGGCGACGAUCCAUAGCCGACCUGAUAGGGUGACCGGCCACAUUGGGACUGAGACACGGCCCAAACUCCUACGGGAGGCAGCAGUGGGGAAUAUUGCACAAUGGGCGAAAGCCUGAUGCAGCGACGCCGCGUGAGCGAAGAAGUAUUUCGGUAUGUAAAGCUCUAUCAGCAGGGAAGAUAAUGACGUUACCUGACGAAGAAGCACCGGCUAAAUACGUG
Molecule: ribosomal RNA, 481 nt
Filed under: uncultured bacterium
Lineage: Bacteria
Description: partial 16S ribosomal RNA
Rfam family: Bacterial small subunit ribosomal RNA
Source: RNAcentral